Molecule: ribosomal RNA, 2460 nt
Filed under: Triticum aestivum (bread wheat)
Lineage: Eukaryota; Viridiplantae; Streptophyta; Magnoliopsida; Poales; Poaceae
Description: partial small subunit ribosomal RNA
Source: RNAcentral
AUUCGUAUAUACCGUGGCUCUGAGGUGGGGUGGGGUGGACUAUGGACAUCCGCUUUUUUUCUCAAUAGGGAAUCCGGCGGUGUCCUCCGUUUUCGUUCACCUUCGGUACCGCUGCCGCCUCCACCCUCCGCUACCGAAGCUCAAAGACAGUCUAGGGCAACUGUCUAUAGGGAAGUAAAGUUUUAUCUACUGGGUUUCACCUUGCCUCCCUCAUUGAAGGAAUAGAGGGUGAGCACCACGCAUGACGACCGGCAACACUAAGCUGCGCGUUGGAAUCAUGAGCUGAGGGAAGAAAACCGUAUCCAGGGAGGCGGCCUAGAACCGCCGCCGCUCAGAUAUGAACUGCGACUUGGGGGGGUUUGAGACUAGACGUGUAGGCGGGUCAGGUCGUGACCACUACACCCACUACGACGGGACGUCAUGUUAAUCUAAACUUGUCGUCAACACUCCCUGAAUCGAACAGUCGCGGGUUGAGUCUCGUCAGUUGACCGUUCCUGCUAGGAGUCCGGGGCCCGACCUGUUUCUCCAUAUAUCUACGUAAAGAGACAACUACUUAGUUUCAGAAAAACUAACGCACUCUCGCUAAAGAAAGACUUAAUGUGUCCCAGGCACAACCCGUACGUGGAGAACUUGCAGGUGGGACACAACCGUUCUAUUCACGGGACCUCUUUUGUAACUCUACUUCUGACUUUGACAGCACUAAGGACGUCAGCCUCUGUUGAAACUAGGGGAAACGGUGGCACGUCCUACAUGGCAGAGGGGAAACGGCUGCACACGUUUGCCGCAACGGCACCGUGAGCUUUUUCUUUUGUCCGUUUUUAAUUGGUGGGAGGAGGUCACCUACGCCAAGAGCUUCUGCGGUAAGUAAGUCGACGAAACGCGACGUGCCGCCCCUCCGGUGCCGCCGCCGCCCCCUACCUAAACUCAAGGAGAGUCUAGUCCAAGGACGACGGCCGUUAACCGCCGCUGUUCAUGUGCGUUCGCCGCGUAUGCCACGAUCUAGACGACCUACCUCGUCGGCUCAGGUCGUGAUCCCUCCACCCCUUCGCGGCGGACAAGAGUCUCGUCAGUUGCCCCGAGCUGCUGGACGUCCGGGACCGACCUGUUUUCCGACGUGAUCACUACGCCCGCUUGUGGGGUGACCUUUACGUGCGAUCGUUAUGGAUGUGGUCCGAUACAAGCUCUUUAAACCACAUCAGAACAUGCUACGGCCUGUCAUGUUCCACCUCCUCCAACUCUUUCCGUGCUCCAAGAACCACGUGGCCAUGGUGGGAUUCUUCGUACUGUUUAUCACGUUUCAACAGAUACUUCACCCCCAAGAACAUUUACCCCGUCUCUAACGUACACUCACGCCAUUAAAACUUGUGUGACCACGAGACGAUGGUACGCCAAUUCCAUGAACUAAAGGGUCCGAAUUGGCUUCAUAGUUUCUUCUUGUAAGAUUUCUCCACCUGGUCCCUACGUUCUCUACACGACGGUCUAGUGUGUGUGUGUGCGAUUGUGAUAACUCCACAUGCUGAACCUCUACGUUUGUGUUGUCGUAUGUUCCGCUGUUACCUCGAGGAGUUCCGUCAUCAAGUCUUCGAUUACGGAUAUCGCCAACACGCACUGCCAUACCCCUAUAUUAUGUCCUAAGUUCUACACUUUCCGUUCCCAUAUCUUUACUCAUUACCCGUACGUGGCCGGACAUCCAUAUCUUCGCUACGACUUCCCUCACCUCACCCGUUAAACUAUCCUAAUAGUCCAGGUCUUGCAUUUGCCUUCCGUCCAACAGGGUGUUUGUCGUCCCAAACGGAGGUAUACUACUAGCGCCACUCGUUAGCUUCUUCACGUUACGACACCGUUUUCGCUGUCCGUGUCGAUUCACACCGUACUCGUUCACAUGCACCAAGACGUCAGAUACAGCUGUUGGUCCAGUGUUCUCAUGUUGACAUGUUGAACAGGAGUCUCCCCACUGGGGGGACACUCUGGUUCCUUCCUUAGGAUUACAAGUUUGACAUCGCAGUCGGCGGUAGCCUUCUUGUGCACGUCGAUAGGCUUCAUGACGUACAACAUCGAUUUACCGUUGCACCUACCAGAGAAGGACGUGCGAAUCCGAAGAGGUAGCAACCCAGGUUACAAGAGUCACAUACUUGAAGUAAAAAAAGGAUGUCCACACUCCCGAAUCGUCACAUACGUCUUUAGCUUACUACAACAGAUCACAUUGUUGACACAGACACCCACAUUGUCUUGGUACAACAACAGAAACCAACUAGACAUACACACAUUGGGGUAAUUCUGUUACAAAAGGACACUCAGACUUGUAAAUGUAAAAAGUCUCCUCGUAAACACGCACGCAUUGCACCUAUCCACCUGUGUUUAGACAAUAAGUGUAUAUAACUAUCCCGACGACACAACAAAGCACGUGCUCAUGCAAACAAAGUCAAACGGACCUUAAACCUAUUUAUUUGUCGAACGGGG